GGACGAACGCUGGCGGCGUGCUUAACACAUGCAAGUCGAACGGAAAGGCCCUGCUUUUGUGGGGUGCUCGAGUGGCGAACGGGUGAGUAACACGUGAGUAACCUGCCCUUGACUUUGGGAUGACUUCAGGAAACUGGGGCUAAUACCGGAUAGGAGCUCCUGCUGCAUGGUGGGGGUUGGAAAGUUUCGGCGGUUGGGGAUGGACUCGCGGCUUAUCAGCUUGUUGGUGGGGUAGUGGCUUACCAAGGCUUUGACGGGUAGCCGGCCUGAGAGGGUGACCGGCCACAUUGGGACUGAGAUACGGCCCAGACUCCUACGGGAGGCAGCAGUGGGGAAUAUUGCACAAUGGGCGGAAGCCUGAUGCAGCAACGCCGCGUGCGGGAUGACGGCCUUCGGGUUGUAAACCGCUUUCGCCUGUGACGAAGCGUGAGUGACGGUAAUGGGUAAAGAAGCACCGGCUAACUACGUG
Molecule: ribosomal RNA, 469 nt
Filed under: uncultured bacterium
Lineage: Bacteria
Description: partial 16S ribosomal RNA
Rfam family: Bacterial small subunit ribosomal RNA
Source: RNAcentral